AAGUCGUAACAAGGUUUCCGUAGGUGAACCUGCGGAAGGAUCAUUAGCGAGAGCCUGCCGCAGACUCGUGCGAGUCUGUGCGCACGCGCGCCAUCCUUGUGUUGUGUGUGACGUGUUGUGUGCGCAAUGCCACUGUUGCCAAGGUGGCGGUGGCGUCUGCGCAUACGCAUUUUUUUCACUCCAUUUCAUCGCAUUUAUUCUAAUUACUGCUGCUCGCAUGAGCACAAACAACCGAAAACUGCCAGCAAUGGAUCACUCGGUUCUC
RNAcentral lists this unclassified non-coding RNA (265 nucleotides) under fungal sp. RNAcentral's name for it is "partial internal transcribed spacer region". The stretch from base 1 to 46 matches the Rfam family "Eukaryotic small subunit ribosomal RNA", at positions 1786 to 1831 of the family's 1831-position model. Lineage: Eukaryota; Fungi. The record is from RNAcentral.